This 567-nucleotide ribosomal RNA is filed under the name uncultured Methylophaga sp. RNAcentral's name for it is "bacterial SSU rRNA". It matches the Rfam family "Bacterial small subunit ribosomal RNA", at positions 536 to 1104 of the family's 1533-position model. Lineage: Bacteria; Pseudomonadati; Pseudomonadota; Gammaproteobacteria; Thiotrichales; Piscirickettsiaceae. The record is from RNAcentral.
GGGCGGUAUCGGAUUACUGGGCGUAAGCGCGCGUAGGCGGUUUAUUAAGUCAGAUGUGAAAUCCCCGGGCUCAACCUGGGAAUGGCAUUUGAGACUGGCAGGCUAGAGUGUGGUAGAGGUGAGUGGAAUUUCAGGUGUAGCGGUGAAAUGCGUAGAGAUCUGAAGGAACAUCAGUGGCGAAGGCGACUCACUGGGCCAUUACUGACGCUGAGGUGCGAAAGCGUGGGUAGCAAACAGGAUUAGAUACCCUGGUAGUCCACGCCCUAAACGAUGUCAACUAGGUGUAUGGAGAAUUUAUUCUUUGUGUAUCGAAGCUAACGCGAUAAGUUGACCGCCUGGGGAGUACGGUCGCAAGACUAAAACUCAAAUGAAUUGACGGGGGCCCGCACAAGCGGUGGAGCAUGUGGUUUAAUUCGAUGCAACGCGAAGAACCUUACCUGGCCUUGACAUGUACGGAAGAUUGAAGAGAUUCGAUUGUGCCUUCGGGAACCGUAACACAGGUGCUGCAUGGCUGUCGUCAGCUCGUGUCGUGAGAUGUUGGGUUAAGUCCCGCAACGAGCGCAACCC